Triplophysa dalaica is the source of this 595-nucleotide long non-coding RNA. RefSeq lists it as uncharacterized. NCBI's taxonomy places the organism in Eukaryota, Metazoa, Chordata, Actinopteri, Cypriniformes, Nemacheilidae. The record is from RefSeq and is a predicted model, not a curated record. The transcript has 2 exons.
UUUAAAUUGUAUUAUUUCUUAAUGGGAGUGAUCCACACAGAUGUAUAUUUACACAGGAAUGAACAGGCUGUGCGCUUCUACGAGUGUAAAUAUGCCGGAGCAUUGUAGUCUCCAGGAGAUUAGAAGGAAAAUCUAUUAAAAAUAACAUCUGAGGCUAACGCACCUCCUGCACCGUGUAACACCGUCGAAUCUUCAACCCACAUUUAUCGAUUUUAAAGAUGGGAUUGACAAGGCGAGGACAACAGACCCAUACCGCCUUCAGCAUUUCCCAAGAUCCUACUUUAUUACAACACGGCUUGUGUUUUGGUUGGAAUAAAAAAGACGCUUGGGCAAUGUCAUAAUACCGUACUUUCUUUUUCUCCUGUUCACAAAGGCAGCACGCGCUUUAGUGCUGGUACAUUCAAAUAAAGGGCAAAGGAUAUUUUUCUCAAACUGGCAACAGUAAAUGUAUUUUUCCUUUACUUUUAAGUUAUUGUAAGCUGCCACAAAACACUCUGCCUGAUAAAUUUCAUUGAAAGAUGUGACUUGAAAUAUAAACAGUCUCUGUGACAGCCCUAGACCAUGAAAAUUGCAAAUAAACAUAUCAGAACAUUAA